This is a long non-coding RNA of Entelurus aequoreus (snake pipefish), 3267 nucleotides long. RefSeq lists it as uncharacterized. The transcript has 4 exons. NCBI's taxonomy places the organism in Eukaryota, Metazoa, Chordata, Actinopteri, Syngnathiformes, Syngnathidae. The record is from RefSeq and is a predicted model, not a curated record.
CUGGCUUCCUCCUGGCAGUCAUUACAGACGUGAGCAGAACCAAGUUGUGUCCUCGUACCUGUAUAACUCAAACAUCUCCCUUCUCAGUCUCAACGAGGGACCGUGUUUGGACCCAAAUGGGAUAUACUGAGGUUGCAACUUGUCCAGGGUGUACCCUGCCUCCCACCCGCAUGCAGCUGAGAUAGGCUCCAGCACCCCGAGAGGGACAAGCCGUAAAAAAUGGAUGGGAUGGAUCCGAAAAACCUGCCAAGAAGCCUCGAAAAACAUGAAAGCACAUCUGCUCACAUUCAAGGUUUGCAUGGUGAGAAGUCUUCCUUGUGGAAAAUCAGUACGGAAUUGCAUUCAUUUCCCAGUGAUCGAAGCAUCCUUUCUCCCCUGGGGGGCUGAGGGAGGACCCUCACACAAAUGCCACAUUACCAUGGCCCAAACCGCAGACAUGACUGCACGCGUUCUUACAAAUGUCAUCAUAACCAAACUGAUCCAGCGCCAGUGAGGACAUUCUAAUUUGUUUUCUUAUGUGAUCUUAAAUUUUAAUGAUCGCGUCAAAUCAUUAGGGAACAUCGACCAAAGCGCACCUCGCGUAGCUCCGUAGCGCUAAAUGAAAUGCAACGACCUGCUGCUUUGCUGUGACUUUGAUGGACUGGAGGUCGAGGUGCUCGCUGAACGAUGACUGCCUAUUGAUUUUUUCAGGUCUUUCGUCUCUAUCGAAUAACCUUCAACAGCCACUAGCCUCAACACAGCCUUCCUAAUAUGGGCUCUGGGGAUAAUCAGUCACUGCAUGUUCACCAGAGAAUUUCUUUUGAAUGGUUGGUGUGAUGCGUAGGAACACUAAUGCUUGCUUUCUUUACGAGAAAGACGAGGCUUAAUUUAUGAGCGGAAUCGACAAUGCCUGUGUUGUACUCAGGAAUACAGGUGCUCGCUUUCUGCGCAGAAACGACGAAGCUUCGGUUUUACUCAGGAACAAAGAUGCUCGCUUUCUGCUCAGAAAUUACGAUGCUUGUGUUUUACAGAGGAACAAAGAUGCUCGGUGAUGUUCGCUUUCUGUGUAAAAACGACAGUCUUUUUGUUCUGUGCAGGAACACAAAUGCUCACUUUCUAAACGGAAACGACAAAGCCUGUGUUCUGCCCAGAAAUCGUGAAGUUCGCUUUCCGCGUGAAAAUGACAAUGCUUGUGUUUUACACAGAAACAAAGAUGCUUGGUUUCUGCGCGGAAACGACACUCCCUGUGUUCUGUGCAGGAAACAUAGAUACUUGCUUCCUGUGCAAAAAUUACAUUGCUUGUGUUUUACGCAGGAAAAAAACGGAAUGUUAUGAGCAGACAUUGUCGCCGGAACAGUGAUGGUGUGUUCUGCGUGGAAAUUUGGAUGCUUGAGUUUUGCGCAGGAAUGGUUGUGAUCUUGGUGUGCACAGUGACAGAGAAGCUAGUGUCAUACGUGGGGAUGGGUAUUGUUUUCCGGGGCCCAUUUGGUUGUCCGUAGCUUGAAUUUUGUUGGUUUUGUUGUCAAAAUAGAAUAAAAUAAAAAACAACAGUAAAAAUGCAAGAAAAAAGCAUAAAGAUGUAAUGUACGGUAAUGACAAAAAGCUGAAAUCUAUAAACUAAUACUAAUAUGUUUGGUCACUUAUAACACAAUGCUGACAAUAUCUGUUUUUGGCCCAUUAUAAUUUUUAUUUAUUUUUACAAAAUAAAAAAUAUCGAAAUGGCGCCCACAAUAUGGCACUUGGUGUGAUGGAAACAGCUGCUUAAACGGCGCAUUGACUAGUAUUUAAAGAACGGAAAACACUUAAUUUUUGUAAAAAAAAAACAAAAAAACAAUGCCUUUUUAUUUCUAUGAAAUUUUGUGACAUUAAACUGAAUAGUAAUUGAAAUACUUAAAUUAAAUAAAUUAAAAGAUAAAGAAAUACAUUCAAAAAUAUGAAAUACAAGCUAUUGCAGCAAUACAGAACAUUGAGAAUGUGCAAAAAAACAACUUGUAAUGUUGAUACUCAUAAUUACGGGUGUUCAUGAAUGCAACCUGUAUAUGUAUGUGUCAAUGAGGAAGUGCUGUGUUAUAGUUUGGACACUCGAUAGCCUAGCGCUGCGCCGUUGGCGUGUUAAGGUCGGGCAUCAGACUCUGUGUGCUUCUGUCAAGACGCCACAUUACUUACAUAACAAUACUUGCACAAUUUAACCCAAACCACUUGUUGCAGGUUGCUGAGUCUGCAUUCGUUUAGCACCAAAAUGAGCUACUUCUUUUUUUGGUCUGGUUACGACCGUUUAUGUUGGCACCCAUGCCAUUAUGGAACCGGGUUCCGGUGCCCAGUUCUGUGCAGGAACAGUGAUGGUGGGGAUAUCGACAGGAAUUGUGACCCCCCACUCUUGUGUGCAGGAAUAAUGUUUCCUCUAUAUGUGCAGGACAAUAAUGGUCAUAUUCUGUGCAGUAACAGGGGUGUUCCUAAUAUGGGCAGGGAUGCUGAUGUUAAUGGAACAGCCACACUUGUGUUUUGCAUUGGAACAACAACAUGUCAGUUCUGCGCAGGAACAUCAAUGUUUGUGUUAUGGGAAGGAGCAAUAAUAUGCCGUAUUAUGGAUGGGAAUUCUGACGUGUGUAUCAUGCACAGGAACAGUAAUCUUCGAGGUCUGUGCAAAGAAUGGUGAUGUUUUGUUCAAGUGUGCAGAGACAAUGAUACUAAAGAUCUGCACAAGAAAGACAAGGCUUUUGUUGUAGGCAAAAACAAUAACUUUUGUUUUGAAGGCAGUCAUUUUCUGUUCGCACAUAACAAUGAUGCUCAAGUAAUGCGCAGGAACAGGAAGAAUUCACGCCUGCACAUGUUCUACGCGACAACCCUCAGGGGACAAAGUCUGACUUUUUUGUCCUUUCAGUUAAUUUUUGCUGUAUUUUGGCCAUCAUUUUUGCUACGUUAUUCCAUUGUACAUGAUUUUUCAUAAGGGGAUUUUUUAAUGUUGAAUUUUAAAGUUAAAAAAUUAUUUCACAGAUCAGGUGUUUCGACAACACCCCAAAGCCAAACAGGACAAAUAAGUCAUUCAUUUUUUAAUACGUUUUUCAAUCUUUAAUUUUUUUCAAAUCUCAAUCAAAUUCAGCCUUAAACAAAAAUACCAAAUAUAUAUUUGUUAACGCUUUGAAGGCCUGUUAAAAUUGUCACAGUAUUAAUUAAUCAAAUUGGUUUUGUUUUAUUAAUCCAUUUAAAAUCACAAGUUAUUUUCCGAAUUUAAAUCUGUGACAUUGUAUAAUUGAAAGGCCUUCUAAACAGUAAAAUAAAUAAAUAAAA